UACGGGGGGGGCAAGCGUUGUUCGGAAUUACUGGGCGUAAAGGGCUCGUAGGCGGCCAACUAAGUCAGACGUGAAAUCCCUCGGCUUAACCGGGGAACUGCGUCUGAUACUGGAUGGCUUGAGUUCGGGAGAGGGAUGUGGAAUUCCAGGUGUAGCGGUGAAAUGCGUAGAUAUCUGGAGGAACACCGGUGGCGAAGGCGGCAUCCUGGACCGACACUGACGCUGAUGAGCGAAAGCCAGAGGAGCAAACGGG
This 253-nucleotide ribosomal RNA is filed under the name uncultured bacterium. RNAcentral's name for it is "partial 16S ribosomal RNA". It matches the Rfam family "Bacterial small subunit ribosomal RNA", at positions 524 to 776 of the family's 1533-position model. The record is from RNAcentral.